AUGACAGGGCUGCAUCAGGACGACCACUUUGUCAGCGAUCUUCCUGGCAUGGCUCGGGCUGCGUUCGACCACUUCACUGCCACCAUUGGAUCCCAGUCCACGCGUGAUCACGCGCUCAACAUACGCAUGUUCGAUCAACGCCGCUUCGACCUGCUACCGCUUGAUGAGCCUUUUUCCGAGGACGAGAUAUGGAAUGCAAUCAAGGCCCUGCCGCUUGGCAAGGCGCCGGGACCGGACGGCUUCACGACGGAAUUCCUACGCUCGUGUUGGGCCAUCGUCAAAGACGACAUAUGUGCCGCUUUCGACAAACUCUACACUAUGAACGGCAUGGGAUUUCGCAAACUCGAUGAGGCGCUACUCAUCCUACUGCCCAAGAGACAAGAUGCAUCGACCCUCGCGCAUUACCGGCCGAUCAGUCUUAUACACCUCAUUGCCAAGCUCUUCGCCAAAGUCCUCUCCCUCCGGCUAGCGCCGCGUCUCCGAGAGAUGGUGUCCACGAACCAAAGUGCGUUCAUCGCCGGAAGGAGUGCGCAUGAUAACUUUCUUCUCGUCCAACAAACGGCCUGGCUCCUCCACAACCUCAAAGGCACUGCGCGUUCUUCUUAA
RNAcentral lists this ribosomal RNA (606 nucleotides) under Triticum aestivum (bread wheat). Its description in RNAcentral is "partial small subunit ribosomal RNA". The record is from RNAcentral. Lineage: Eukaryota; Viridiplantae; Streptophyta; Magnoliopsida; Poales; Poaceae.